GAUGAACGCUGGCGGCGUGCCUAAUACAUGCAAGUCGAGCGAACAGACGAGGAGCUUGCCCCUCUAACGUUAGCGGCGGACGGGUGAGUAACACGUGGAUAACCUACCUAUAAGACUGGGAUAACUUCGGGAAACCGGAGCUAAUACCGGAUAAUAUAUUGAACCGCAUGGUUCAAUAGUGAAAGACGGUUUUGCUGUCACUUAUAGAUGGAUCCGCGCCGCAUUAGCUAGUUGGUAAGGUAACGGCUUACCAAGGCAACGAUGCGUAGCCGACCUGAGAGGGUGAUCGGCCACACUGGAACUGAGACACGGUCCAGACUCCUACGGGAGGCAGCAGUAGGGAAUCUUCCGCAAUGGGCGAAAGCAUGACGGAGCAACGCCGCGUGAGUGAUGAAGGUCUUCGGAUCGUAAAACUCUGUUAUUAGGGAAGAACAAAUGUGUAAGUAACUAUGCACGUCUUGACGGUACCUAAUCAGAAAGCCACGGCUAACUACGUG
This 497-nucleotide ribosomal RNA is filed under the name uncultured bacterium. RNAcentral describes it as "partial 16S ribosomal RNA". It matches the Rfam family "Bacterial small subunit ribosomal RNA", at positions 28 to 507 of the family's 1533-position model. The record is from RNAcentral.